This 852-nucleotide non-coding RNA is filed under the name Gyrinophilus porphyriticus (spring salamander). The record is from RNAcentral. Lineage: Eukaryota; Metazoa; Chordata; Amphibia; Caudata; Plethodontidae.
ACCAUUAGUUUAAAUUAUAUUUAUACAUGCAAGUUUCAGCGCCCCAGUGAGAAUGCCCACAUUGCCUAUUAGCAACAACGGAGCGGGUAUCAGGCACAAAAAAGCCCAUAACACCUUGCUAAGCCACACCCAUACGGGAAUUCAGCAGUAAUAAACAUUGAAUAUAAGUGAAAACUUGAUUCAGCAAUAAUUUAAUAGAGCCGGUAAAUCUCGUGCCAGCCACCGCGGUUAUACGAGGAGCUCAAACUAAUAUAAUGCGGCCCAAAGAGCAGUUAGAGUAUACUAUUAUAGAAUUAAAAAGCUACAAAGCCGUCAUACGCACAAGCAGACUAAAAGCCCACAAACGAAGGUUAUUCUACUACCCUCGAACCCACCACAGCCGGGAAACAAACUGGGAUUAGAUACCCCACUAUGCCCAGCCAUAAACUUUGGAAAUACCCGCCAGAUAAUUACGAGCCACAGCUUAAAAUUCAAAGGACUUGGCGGUGCUUUAUAUCCACCUAGAGGAGCCUGUUCUAUAAUCGAUACCCCCCGAUCAACCUCACCACCCCUUGCCAAUACAGCCUAUAUACCACCGUCCUAGCUAACCCUUUAAAGGAACAAUAGCAAGCAAAAUAACUUUUAGUAAAAAAGUCAGGUCAAGGUGUAGCAUAUGAGGUGGGAAGAAAUGGGCUACAUUUUCUAAACAGAAAACACGAAAUAAUCUAUGAAACAAAAUAUGAAGGAGGAUUUAGUAGUAAAAAGAAAAAAGAGUGUUCUUUUUAAAUAGGUAAUAAAGCACGCACACACCGCCCGUCACCCUCAUCACAAUACAACAACCUAAAUAAAAUAAUAAAAAAAAGAAGAGGAAAG